Molecule: small RNA, 1092 nt
Filed under: Arabidopsis thaliana (thale cress)
Lineage: Eukaryota; Viridiplantae; Streptophyta; Magnoliopsida; Brassicales; Brassicaceae
Description: ATSL202530
Rfam family: Plant small nucleolar RNA R71 (bases 821-927)
Source: RNAcentral
UAUUGACUUCCCAGGAAGUCCUGUGACUUUAGGGGCAGAGGUAGAUGCUGACUGGCCUUCCAAGUACCUGACUUUGGUAUUCAAUGCCUCCACUUUGGCAUUCAGGUCAUUGUAGCAGCAGUCUAGCUUAUGGCGCAAUUCAGAUAAUUUCUUAGCAAUUUCCAUCGAGCUAGAUGCUUGUCCCUGUAGCAGCUGUUGGACCAUCUGUUUCAUUUCAGCAUCAGGAGCAGCAGGACCUUGGUUUUGCUGAGGUGCAAACCCAGGUGGUGGUGGUUGCUGGUAGUUCCCCUGAAAUUGUUGCUUAGCAACGAAACCUUGGUUGUAGGGAACAAAAGGUUUGUUCUGACCUUGUUGUUGCUGUGGAGGAUACACCUGAUCCUGAGGAUUAGCAACGUUGGUGCUGCGGUAGGAGAGGUUGGGGUUGUUGGUUUUGAAGUUGUUGUAUCCUUUGUAGUCACCCUGGUUGUUGUUGAUGUAGCUGACUUCUUCCAACUGGUUACCCUCCCCAUCUUGGACUUGGUACUGCUCGUCAUCAACAAGGAAGUGCUCAUGCUUCUGCUGGCUAAGAAGAAUCCUGUCCAGCUUGUCAUUCAGCACUUUGAUCUCCUUCCUGUGUUUGUCAUCAGAGUCAGCUGUUCCUCUGACGGUCCUAUCAGAGUCCUCGUUGUAAUUGCCAUCUGAUUGAGAAAGGUUCUCAACCAAUUCCCAGCCUUCUUCAACAUCCUUGUUCUGGAAAUUCCCAUUGCUGGCGGUAUCCAGAAGCAUUCUGAUGGGUGGUAGGACUCCUCUGUAAAGAGUGCUGAGCAGAGAGGCUUUAGUAAAGCCAUGAUGAAAGCAUUAGUUGGUGUAACCCUUGAAACGCUCCCAUGCUUCACAGAAGCUUUCACCAGUCUUCUGUGAGAAACCAGAAAUCUCAAUUCUGAGUCUUGCAGUUCUGGCAUUGGAGAAGAACUUUGAUAGAAAAGCCUUCUUGCAAUCAUCCCAGGUGGUGAUUGAGUCAUGGGGCAGAUUCUUCUCCCAGGUGUGUGCUUUAUCGCCCAAGGAGAAUGGGAACAAACGGAGCUUGAAUCCGUCUUCACUGACACCAUUGAU